UGCCUGGUCAGAUGUCAAAGACGCAAGACUCAAACUCCUGAAGAUUUGACAUAAUAUGUGCCCAUUGAUCAGGGAUCAGAGACCACAGAGCGCAGAUUACUGGCUGUUAAUGGAAUCCUGUAAUGCAGCAACAGAUCAGAAUCCCGUUAUGUUCUGUAUGGGGCCAGAUACUGAGCACCA
This 180-nucleotide long non-coding RNA is filed under the name Struthio camelus australis. Its description in RNAcentral is "lncRNA (ENSSCUG00000013134.1)". The record is from RNAcentral. Lineage: Eukaryota; Metazoa; Chordata; Aves; Struthioniformes; Struthionidae.